This 66-nucleotide transfer RNA is filed under the name Diplectrona hexapetala (nom. nud.). RNAcentral describes it as "tRNA-Pro". The record is from RNAcentral. Lineage: Eukaryota; Metazoa; Arthropoda; Insecta; Trichoptera; Hydropsychidae.
CAAGUGGUAGUUUAUUAAAAUAAUAAUUUUGGAGAUUAUCGAUAUAGGUUAAUUCUAUUUACUUGA